UUUUGAUCAUUGAGAAGCUUAAUAUUUCCUUAUGAACACAAUGUCAUUAAAACGUUUAGCUGACUUUACAGAGUUAUCUCCCUGUAGUGUUAGGUACCACCUUAAGUCAUUGACACAGACUAAUUGUUUGAAACAUGUCAAUGACAUGCCAAAAAUGGAAACUAUCAAUUUGAAAAGAAGAUAAUUUUGGACAGUUCAUGAUUUCUGUGGGCAAAAAAUAACAUUCUGUUUAUAUUUACACAAUCACACAUAGGCAAUUAAUGAAAGCAUUAAUUAUAAGUGCUAAGUGCUCAAUAACUUGUUUUGUAAACUUUCCCGGUGAAUAUAUAACGUAUAUAUGCAGUGUAUAGGUUUAUUUUUGAUUAUUGAAAAAAAGAGUAAAUUGAAAAAUUGUAAACGAAUUUUUUCACAAUUUUUGAGAAAAAAAAAUAACACAGUAUUAGGUUAAUCUUAAGAGUUUGGAUUAAACAUGUAUUUAAACAAUGUGUUUAGCUUUGAUAUGAAAACGAGCAAAAAAUCAAACAUCUAACACACAAUUAUCUAUCUUCAAUUACUUAUGUGGCAUUUAUUCAAUUGUAAUUAUCAUUCCAAAGUUCAGAGAUCAGUUGUAAAUUGUUUUUAAUGUCGUAAGGGACCCAUGAAAACUCUUUGAAAUCAUGUGCAAUUUUGUGAUAUGUAUAUGUAAGAGCCUUAUCAUGUUUGGUACAUAUAAUGUACAUUUGUUUUCAUCAUUUCACAUUCAGACAUUGUAAUUACCUCCCCCUUAUUUAGACAGUAAAUUACCUCCCUUUCAUGUACUCUUUUUUUAUUCAAACAACAAACAUCAGUCUAUCCAAAAGUUAUUUAUAAUUUAAAUACACAUCAAAAUUAUAAUGUUUUUAUCAGCUUUUACAUGUUACAAGUUUGCAUUAUAAUUUAGAAUAACUAUUUUGUAUUUGAUAUUUGCUAAUAAGAAUAUGAAAGUAUGUUUUAACAUAAUUUCCAUAUGUUUUUUUGGCUGUCAUAUUUAAAAUAUGAUAAAUGUUUCAGUUAUUUUGAUAUUUGAUGACGACUUAAAAUAUUCAAUGCUUCAUUUCUUUACCAUGUCCAGUAUGUCCUAGAUUUUGCAGUUUAUUCUCUCAUGAACGUUUUCAAUAAAGGAUGCUGUUAAGAGUGUACCCAUUGAAUAGAGAAUCCGAGUCCGUUCGCCCUGAUUCAUGUUCGCCCUAGUACCUGUUUGCCCUGAUACCUGCUCGCCCCAGGGUCCAUUCACCCUGAUUUUUAUUUUUUUCUAAUUGUUGUCUAGUCGCAUUAUUUUAAGUAAUUGAAAAAAAUAUGUUAAAGUUUGUUGAAAAAUUGACAGAAUGUUUAUAUUGCUGCAAUCAAUUUAGUAUUUUCCCUUCGAUUUGCAGAGUAGAAUACGAAAAUACAAUGUAUUUAUCUUUAUUGAUAUUUGUUAACAAAAUAAUUGUAUUCAGCCAACAUAAUUGCAUUCAGUCAAUCACGAAUGUAUGCAGUAUGACUAGUCUUAGAGUAUAAAUAAAUGAACUUGGACCGUUUCAUAAUUUACAGUUGGUACAUCAUUGUUUUUAUUAAUUUCAAGCUGAAAAUUUUAUCAAAACAAAACGUUUGUUUUAAUUAUUAAUCCAUCAAAAGACAAGUAUCACAAUAAUCAGUGAUCCAAAUUAUUUUGUCAUUGAACAAUUAAUGAUGAUCCUAAACAAGCCAUAAAUUUUUAAAUAUUUCAAUGUUUUCAUAAAUUUCAAGAAUAUAUAUACCAUAGAAAUAUCGGAAUAAGUUUAUUCAAUUUCAAUGCCCUGAAUAUUAAUAUUUUUAUAGUAGGGCGAAUGGACUCUACGAGUGAAUGAACUCAGCGUGAACGGACCUAGGGCGAACAUGUUAUUAGGGUGAACGGUCACUAUACCUUGAAUAGACAGCACAAUUGUAUGUCAUAGAUUGUACAUCUACUGCUAAAUGUUGGUUAAAACUGAUUCAAUUAUGUGAAAGGUUUCACUGCAGAUUUUUGUUUUUUCUUGAAUAUAUAUUGGUAACAACUUAGAUAAUAUUAGACAUGUCUUUGUAAGGGUCUAUUUUCUACAAUACUGUUAAUUUAAAAAUUCUGUAAAUUUAGAAAUUAUUAUGUGCAUUUACUAUUGCAAUUUUGUCAUUUUAGAGUUAAAUGCAAUUUUAGUUUUUGCAUUGUUGAUAAAAAUCCUCUUUGAAAAUGCGUGUUUAAAUUAUUGUGAUUUUAACCCUAUCGCAUUUACAGUAUUAAAAAGGACUUGACCAAUUGACAAAUUAGGACUAUGCUAAUGUUUGUGACACAUUAGUGAUCUAAAGCUCCAUGAACAUAGAACAGUUGCUGUACAAUGUUUUAUUUUGUUAUUUUUUUCUAAUUUUGUAGAAAGUUAGAGGGAUAGUGCAAUGUCAUCUUUUCAUUUGCCUCAAUCAGGGUAGACAACUCAUGUUUAUUGUGCAAAGCACAAAUUAUCUUGAACAAAAUAUCUGUCAUCUGUCCAACAAGUGUAAUGAUGUUAAGAGACUAAAAUCUUUCCAAUAUUCAACAUUAUUGAAAAAGAAAAAAAUGUCAGCCAUGUAGUUGUGAAGAAAAAGUAAAGAACUGAAGAAGGCCAAUGGCCAAAAUGUCUUAAAAAUUGGUUUAUUUCUACAAUAAUGUAAAAGUAUGUUCCCUAUUGUAUUUUUAAAAGUAGGAUUAUUCCACAUGGUAAAACAUUUGUCAUUAAGUUCUUAUAUAUAUAUAUAUUGAACUAUGUCCACUUUGAAUAAAACCAAAUAUGAGAUACAGUGAAACAAACAGAACCACUUUGGGACUUAAGAUUUUGUUCGGUUUUGGCCGAUUUUCGGUGUAAUCAGGUUCACAAUGCAUACAAUUUGAUAUGACAGUGCUUUAGAAAAUAUUUGGUUUAUACAGGUUUUCGGUUUAAGCAGGAUUCAGUUUAGCCAGGUUUCACUGUAUAUGAUUGAGAUAAAAGAAUGGUCUAUCUAGCCCUAUAAUUAUAAUACAAUAUUUCGUUAUUCUACAAAUUAUUUUCAGAGCCUAUUUUUCCUGGGAUUGGUUCCAUGAACCUUUUUCAUACUAAAGAAAUAAUGAGAAUAUAUCUCAAAUAAAAUAACUUAUAUCUACCUUCAUAUACAUACUAAUUUUUGAAAAUGAAUUUUUGAUAAAUGGUCUACACUAGAAAUGGCUUAAUGCUAAAAAAAGUAUCGUUGAAAAUGAUUUUGUUUACAAUAUUUACCCAUUCCAUUUGUAUUGUUGAUAUUUAAGAAAAGAAUUUAAAUGACAAAUCUGAGUUUUUUAAUUUCCCAUGCUUUUAAAGACCCUAUGAGCAAAGCCCAUACCGCCUAGUCAAGAAUGGCAUUUUAUUUUUUACAAGUUGUUAUUGGCAGUCUGUAUUGUUGAUUUAAAAAGCAGAUGUUAAUGAAGUGUUAAACAUUUUGUAAUAUUGACAUCAUGAUUGAACAGAGACAGAUGUUUUGUUCAGGAUAAAAAUUACAUUUCAUUUGUUGACAUUUUAAGAAUCAUUAUAUUAUAGAUUGUUUUUACAAAUUUUUAUUCAGUUUUAUAUUGUGUGACAUAUUUUUUAGCAGAUUUGAGCAAACUUAUAGAUCAGUUUGUCUGUGGAGUGUCUUAUAUAGAAAGCUUUAUUUUUUUGUGUUAUUUUAGAAACC
RNAcentral lists this long non-coding RNA (3669 nucleotides) under Mytilus galloprovincialis (Mediterranean mussel). Lineage: Eukaryota; Metazoa; Mollusca; Bivalvia; Mytilida; Mytilidae. The record is from RNAcentral.